CGCAGGGAAACCGAGUCUUAACUGGGCGUUAAGUUGCAGGGUAUAGACCCGAAACCCGGUGAUCUAGCCAUGGGCAGGUUGAAGGUUGGGUAACACUAACUGGAGGACCGAACCGACUAAUGUUGAAAAAUUAGCGGAUGACUUGUGGCUGGGGGUGAAAGGCCAAUCAAACCGGGAGAUAGCUGGUUCUCCCCGAAAGCUAUUUAGGUAGCGCCUCGUGAACUCAUCUUCGGGGGUAGAGCACUGUUUCGGCUAGGGGGUCAUCCCGACUUACCAACCCGAUGCAAACUACGAAUACCGAAGAAUGUUAUCACGGGAGACACACGGCGGGUGCUAACGUCCGUCGUGAAGAGGGAAACAACCCAGACCGCCAGCUAAGGUCCCAAAGUCAUGGUUAAGUGGGAAACGAUGUGGGAAGGCACAGACAGCCAGGAUGUUGGCUUAGAAGCAGCCAUCAUUUAAAGAAAGCGUAAUAGCUCACUGGUCGAGUCGGCCUGCGCGGAAGAUGUAACGGGGCUAAACCAUGCACCGAAGCUGCGGCAGCGACACUAUGUGUUGUUGGGUAGGGGAGCGUUCUGUAAGCCUGCGAAGGUGUGCUGUGAGGCAUGCUGGAGGUAUCAGAAGUGCGAAUGCUGACAUAAGUAACGAUAAAGCGGGUGAAAAGCCCGCUCGCCGGAAGACCAAGGGUUCCUGUCCAACGUUAAUCGGGGCAGGGUGAGUCGACCCCUAAGGCGAGGCCGAAAGGCGUAGUCGAUGGGAAACAGGUUAAUAUUCCUGUACUUGGUGUUACUGCGAAGGGGGGACGGAGAAGGCUAUGUUAGCCGGGCGACGGUUGUCCCGGUUUAAGCAUGUAGGCUGAUUGUCCAGGCAAAUCCGGAUAAUCAAGGCUGAGGUGUGAUGACGAGGCACUACGGUGCUGAAGUAACAAAUGCCCUGCUUCCAGGAAAAGCCUCUAAGCAUCAGGUAACAUUAAAUCGUACCCCAAACCGACACAGGUGGUCAGGUAGAGAAUACCAAGGCGCUUGAGAGAACUCGGGUGAAGGAACUAGGCAAAAUGGUGCCGUAACUUCGGGAGAAGGCACGCUGGUGUGUAGGUGAAGUCCCUGCGGAUGGAGCUGAGACCAGUCGAAGAUACCAGCUGGCUGCAACUGUUUAUUAAAAACACAGCACUGUGCAAACACGAAAGUGGACGUAUACGGUGUGACGCCUGCCCGGUGCCGGAAGGUUAAUUGAUGGGGUUAUCCGUAAGGAGAAGCUCUUGAUCGAAGCCCCGGUAAACGGCGGCCGUAACUAUAACGGUCCUAAGGUAGCGAAAUUCCUUGUCGGGUAAGUUCCGACCUGCACGAAUGGCGUAAUGAUGGCCAGGCUGUCUCCACCCGAGACUCAGUGAAAUUGAACUCGCUGUGAAGAUGCAGUGUACCCGCGGCAAGACGGAAAGACCCCGUGAACCUUUACUAUAGCUUGACACUGAACAUUGAGCCUUGAUGUGUAGGAUAGGUGGGAGGCUUUGAAGCGUGGACGCCAGUCUGCGUGGAGCCAACCUUGAAAUACCACCCUUUAAUGUUUGAUGUUCUAACGUUGGCCCCU
This 1587-nucleotide ribosomal RNA is filed under the name Klebsiella pneumoniae. Its description in RNAcentral is "bacterial LSU rRNA". It matches the Rfam family "Bacterial large subunit ribosomal RNA", at positions 667 to 2236 of the family's 2925-position model. The record is from RNAcentral. Lineage: Bacteria; Pseudomonadati; Pseudomonadota; Gammaproteobacteria; Enterobacterales; Enterobacteriaceae.